This 308-nucleotide ribosomal RNA is filed under the name uncultured eukaryote. RNAcentral describes it as "partial 18S ribosomal RNA". It matches the Rfam family "Eukaryotic small subunit ribosomal RNA", at positions 1470 to 1796 of the family's 1831-position model. The record is from RNAcentral.
CCCUUAGACGUUCUGGGCCGCACGCGCGCUACACUGACGAAGGCAACGAGCUUUCCUUUACCGAAAGGUACGGGUAAUCUUUUGAAACUUCGUCGUGCUGGGGAUAGAUCCUUGCAAUUAUUGAUCUUAAACGAGGAAUUCCUAGUAAGCGCAAGUCAUCAACUUGCGUUGAUUACGUCCCUGCCCUUUGUACACACCGCCCGUCGCUACUACCGAUUGAAUGGUUUAGUGAGGCCUUCGGAUCCGCAACUCGUUUUGUGGAGAAGUUGGACAAACUCANUNAUUUAGNGGAAGUAAAANUCGUANCA